Molecule: long non-coding RNA, 569 nt
Filed under: Pan troglodytes (chimpanzee)
Lineage: Eukaryota; Metazoa; Chordata; Mammalia; Primates; Hominidae
Description: long non-coding RNA NONPTRT002359
Source: RNAcentral
CACAAAUCACACAGCUUUGCCCAGCAUCCUGUGAGCCUCAAAACCACAGGCACAUGAUUAUGCUGAACUGCUCUCAGAGGGAGGCUUGAUGGAGCCAUGAAGAAGAGGUAGAAACAAAAUAGCAGACAGGAAAAAGUAUCUGCAGCAAAGAAACAGCAUGGGUGAAGUCCUGCAGAAAGGCAGUUGGACCAAGGCAAGAUGACCUGCAGAAACUCUGCCAGUGAUAAAACGGAUGCAUCUCUCAACUGACAAAAUAACCACAAAAUCUCUGCUUUUCAUGCCUGUGCCCAGUGUUUGAGGAUGAUGGAAAUCACAGAGAUAAAACACCUAAUACAUUCAUCUGUUUGCAGAAAAGGUUGCAUCUAAUUAGUAGGUAUAAUGUUAAUUCUGACAUAAAUUACAGAAUAAAAUAAUGGACAUGAACAUAAUACAAAAAUGCUAAGGCUGAACAAAUAAAAGAUUAAGAAAAUUUCAAGAUAAAAGGAGGCUUUAGCAAAAGAUACAAAAUGAACAUCUGAACUGGAUUAUUUUUAACCUCUGACUAUUCUAACACAUGUCCUGUAUCUGUG